ACGAAAGCGUGGGGAGCGAACAGGAUUAGAUACCCUGGUAGUCCGCACGGUAAACGAUGGAUGCCCGCUGUUGGUCUGAAUAGGUCAGCGGCCAAGCGAAAGCAUUAAGCAUCCCACCUGGGGAGUACGCCGGCAACGGUGAAACUCAAAGGAAUUGACGGGGGCCCGCACAAGCGGAGGAACAUGUGGUUUAAUUCGAUGAUACGCGAGGAACCUUACCCGGGCUUGAAUUGCAGAGGAAGGAUUUGGAGACAAUGACGCCCUUCGGGGCCUCUGUGAAGGUG
This 284-nucleotide ribosomal RNA is filed under the name Florenciella parvula. RNAcentral's name for it is "partial Bacterial small subunit ribosomal RNA". It matches the Rfam family "Bacterial small subunit ribosomal RNA", at positions 753 to 1040 of the family's 1533-position model. The record is from RNAcentral. Lineage: Eukaryota; Dictyochophyceae; Florenciellales.